AGUGAACGCUGGCGGUAGGCCUAACACAUGCAAGUCGAACGGCAGCACAGUAAGAGCUUGCUCUUACGGGUGGCGAGUGGCGGACGGGUGAGGAAUACAUCGGAAUCUACUUUUUCGUGGGGGAUAACGUAGGGAAACUUACGCUAAUACCGCAUACGACCUACGGGUGAAAGCAGGGGAUCUUCGGACCUUGCGCGAUUGAAUGAGACGAUGUCGGAUUAGCUAGUUGGCGGGGUAAAGGCCCACCAAGGCGACGAUCCGUAGCUGGUCUGAGAGGAUGAUCAGCCACACUGGAACUGAGACACGGUCCAGACUCCUACGGGAGGCAGCAGUGGGGAAUAUUGGACAAUGGGCGCAAGCCUGAUCCAGCCAUACCGCGUGGGUGAAGAAGGCCUUCGGGUUGUAAAGCCCUUUUGUUGGGAAAGAAAAGCAGCAGAUUAAUACCCCGCUGUUCUGACGGUACCCAAAGAAUAAGCACCGGCUAACUUCGUG
RNAcentral lists this ribosomal RNA (492 nucleotides) under uncultured bacterium. RNAcentral's name for it is "partial 16S ribosomal RNA". It matches the Rfam family "Bacterial small subunit ribosomal RNA", at positions 29 to 507 of the family's 1533-position model. The record is from RNAcentral.